GUAGUCAUAUGCUUGUCUCAAAGCUUAAGCCAUGCAAGUCUCAGUACGAGCUGUCUUAAAGUGAAACCGCAAAAGGCUCAGUAAACCGGUCAUAGUUUACCGGAUAUAUGCCACUUACGUGGAUAACUGUGGUAAUUCUAGAGCUAAUACAUGCAAACAAGUCCCGACCAGCGAUGGAGAGGACGCUUUUAUUGGAUCAAAACCAUUCGCCCGGCUUGCCCGGGCGUCGGCUUGAUGACUCUAGAUAACACCACAGAUCGCACGGUCACAGUACCGGUGACAUAUCCUUCAAAUGUCUGACUUAUCAGCUGUCGAUGGUAGACUCUGUGUCUACCAUGGCGCUCACGGGUGACGGGGAAUCAGGGUUCGAUUCCGGAGAGGGAGCCUGAGAAACGGCUACCACAUCCAAGGAAGGCAGCAGGCACGCAAAUUACCCACUCCCGGCACGGGGAGGUAGUGACAAAAAAUAACGAUACGGGACUCAUCCGAGGCCCCGUAAUGAGAACACCCUAAAUCCUUUAACGAGGAUCUAUUGGAGGGCAAGUCUGGUGCCAGCAGCCGCGGUAAUUCCAGCUCCAAUAGCGUAUAUUAAAGUUGUUGCGGUUAAAAAGCUCGUAGUUGGUUCUGCGUGCCACGCUGUCGGUUCACCGCCUGCCGGUGCAACUGGCAUGCCGUGGCAUGUCCUGUCGGUGGCGGAUAGGCUUCGCGGCGUGCCCUAUGCGGUGACAAGCCGUGUAGGCUGCUGCGCCGCGUUGUCCUUGUACGCCGGCUCAAUCCUACCGCGGUGCUCUUUACCGAGUGUCGAGGUAGGCCGACACUGUUUACUUUGAACAAAUUAGAGUGCUUAAAGCAGGCUCUUAAAUUAGCCUGAAUAGUGGUGCAUGGAAUAAUGGAACAGGACCUUGGUUCUAUUUUGUUGGUUUUCGGAAUCCAAGGUAAUGAUCAAUAAGGACA
RNAcentral lists this ribosomal RNA (954 nucleotides) under Melucha chapadana. RNAcentral describes it as "SSU rRNA". It matches the Rfam family "Eukaryotic small subunit ribosomal RNA", at positions 20 to 880 of the family's 1831-position model. Lineage: Eukaryota; Metazoa; Arthropoda; Insecta; Hemiptera; Coreidae. The record is from RNAcentral.